Molecule: ribosomal RNA, 253 nt
Filed under: uncultured bacterium
Lineage: Bacteria
Description: partial 16S ribosomal RNA
Rfam family: Bacterial small subunit ribosomal RNA
Source: RNAcentral
GACGAAGGGGGCUAGCGUUGUUCGGAAUUACUGGGCGUAAAGCGCGUGUAGGCGGUUGCCCAAGUCGGGUGUGAAAGCCUUGAGCUCAACUCAAGAAAUGCAUUCGGUACUGGGUGACUAGAGGACCGGAGAGGAUAGUGGAAUUCCCAGUGUAGUGGUGAAAUACGUAGAGAUUGGGAAGAACACCAGUGGCGAAGGCGGCUAUCUGGACGGUUUCUGACGCUAAGACGCGAAAGCGUGGGGAGCAAACAGG